CCUACGGGGCGCUGCAGUGGGGAAUAUUGGACAAUGGGGGCAACCCUGAUCCAGCCAUGCCGCGUGUGUGAAGAAGGCCCUCGGGUUGUAAAGCACUUUCAGUGAGGAAGAACGCCUGGUGGUUAAUACCCAUCAGGAAAGACAUCACUCACAGAAGAAGCACCGGCUAACUCCGUGCCAGCAGCCGCGGUAAUACGGAGGGUGCGAGCGUUAAUCGGAAUUACUGGGCGUAAAGCGCGCGUAGGUGGCUUGAUAAGCCGGUUGUGAAAGCCCCGGGCUCAACCUGGGAACGGCAUCCGGAACUGUCAAGCUAGAGUGCAGGAGAGGAAGGUAGAAUUCCCGGUGUAGCGGUGAAAUGCGUAGAGAUCGGGAGGAAUACCAGUGGCGAAGGCGGCCUUCUGGACUGACACUGACACUGAGGUGCGAAAGCGUGGGUAGCAAACAGGAUUAGAUACCCGAGUAGUC
This 465-nucleotide ribosomal RNA is filed under the name Vreelandella stevensii. RNAcentral describes it as "partial 16S ribosomal RNA". It matches the Rfam family "Bacterial small subunit ribosomal RNA", at positions 338 to 795 of the family's 1533-position model. The record is from RNAcentral. Lineage: Bacteria; Pseudomonadati; Pseudomonadota; Gammaproteobacteria; Oceanospirillales; Halomonadaceae.